RNAcentral lists this transfer RNA (73 nucleotides) under Camelus bactrianus (Bactrian camel). It matches the Rfam family "tRNA". Rfam says of the family: Transfer RNA (tRNA) molecules are approximately 80 nucleotides in length. Their secondary structure includes four short double-helical elements and three loops (D, anti-codon, and T loops). The record is from Rfam by way of RNAcentral. Lineage: Eukaryota; Metazoa; Chordata; Mammalia; Artiodactyla; Camelidae. RNAcentral also lists the same sequence under 1 other name.
GAGGAUGUAGCUUAAUUAGUAGAGUGCAUGCUUACCAAGCACGAGGUCCUGGGUUCAGUCCCCAGCACCUCCA